RNAcentral lists this ribosomal RNA (426 nucleotides) under uncultured bacterium. Its description in RNAcentral is "partial 16S ribosomal RNA". It matches the Rfam family "Bacterial small subunit ribosomal RNA", at positions 354 to 796 of the family's 1533-position model. The record is from RNAcentral.
GUGAGGAAUUUUCCGCAAUGGGCGAAAGCCUGACGGAGCAAUGCCGCGUGAAGGAUGAAGGCCUAUGGGUUGUAAACUUCUUUUCUCAGAAAAGAAUUAUGACGGUAUCUGAGGAAUAAGCAUCGGCUAACUCUGUGCCAGCAGCCGCGGUAAGACAGAGGAUGCAAGCGUUAUCCGGAAUGAUUGGGCGUAAAGCGUCUGUAGGUUGUUUAAAAAGUAUUCUGUCAAAGAUUAGGGCUUAACCCUAGAUAGGCAGAAUAAACUUUUAAGCUAGAGUUUGGUAGAGGCAGAGGGAAUUCCCGGUGGAGCGGUGAAAUGCGUAGAUAUCGGGAGGAACACCAAAGGCGAAGGCACUCUGCUGGGCCAAUACUAACACUGAGAGACGAAAGCGAGGGGAGCAAAUGGGAUUAGAACCCCGAGUAGUCC